Molecule: long non-coding RNA, 219 nt
Filed under: Vigna radiata
Lineage: Eukaryota; Viridiplantae; Streptophyta; Magnoliopsida; Fabales; Fabaceae
Description: long non-coding RNA (VRAD_LNC002844)
Source: RNAcentral
GUAGAUGUAAAAACCUUUCCCGAAUCUAGCAGCUGGUAGCUCAAGUCCUGAACUUUUUAAGGUUUUUUUUAAGCACAAGAGAAAGGAGGUGGUCUCCCUUUCUUCUGAACCGGCAAGCUGCAAGUGGUCGGUGUUUCCACCUCUGCACCGCAUUCAAAAGCCAAAAUGUGUGUAGCAGCUGUGUCUUUUUUCUUUUUCUUCUACCCUUAUGUUCUCUUC